This 253-nucleotide ribosomal RNA is filed under the name uncultured bacterium. RNAcentral describes it as "partial 16S ribosomal RNA". It matches the Rfam family "Bacterial small subunit ribosomal RNA", at positions 524 to 776 of the family's 1533-position model. The record is from RNAcentral.
UACGUAGGGUGCAAGCGUUGUCCGGAAUUAUUGGGCGUAAAGAGCUCGUAGGCGGUCUGUCGCGUCGGCUGUGAAAACCCGGAGCUCAACUCCGGGCCUGCAGUCGAUACGGGCAGACUGGAGUUCGGCAGGGGAGACUGGAAUUCCUGGUGUAGCGGUGAAAUGCGCAGAUAUCAGGAGGAACACCGGUGGCGAAGGCGGGUCUCUGGGCCGAUACUGACGCUGAGACGCGAAAGCGUGGGGAGCGAACCGG